UUAAGACCCCAGGCAGAGGAGGGCCAGGUCUCUCUUCUCAGAGCUCAAGUAAGAAGAGGUGGGAUAACACCACCAAGAAGCCGAAGAAGAAUAAGUUUUGGAAUAAGUUGAAAUCCGGUCUGGGAUUUGGCAGUGGCUCGAGCUCAGGCUCAGAUGGUACAGAAUGCCAGAGAUGUUGAAGGCCGCACAGGGGAGUGUGUCGAGCUGGGACUAAUACAUGUUUCAGAUGUGGACAGGAG
This 239-nucleotide long non-coding RNA is filed under the name Manihot esculenta (cassava). RNAcentral's name for it is "long non-coding RNA (MESC_LNC001115)". Lineage: Eukaryota; Viridiplantae; Streptophyta; Magnoliopsida; Malpighiales; Euphorbiaceae. The record is from RNAcentral.